GUUAUUGGGUAUCAAAACCUAAUAGCGAAAUUAACAUAACUUUUUAUGGGAUUAGUUUUUAGAUUAUUUAUAGUCUAUUAAUUCAAUCCCGGGGCGUUCUAUAUAGUUAUGUAUAAUAAUAUUUAUAUUAUUUAUACCUCUAACUAGAGCGUACCUUGAGCAUAUAUGCUGUGACCCGAAAGAUGGUGAACUAUACUUGAUCAGGUUGAAGUCAGGGGAAACCCUGAUGGAAGACCGAAACAGUUCUGACGUGCAAAUCGAUUGUCAGAAUUGAGUAUAGGGGCGAAAGACCAAUCGAACCAUCUAGUAGCUGGUUCCCUCCGAAGUUUCCCUCAGGAUAGCUGGUGCAUUUAAAUAUUAUGUAAAAUAAUCUUAUCUGGUAAAGCGAAUGAUUAGAGGCCUUAGGGUCGAAACGACCUUAACCUAUUCUCAAACUUUAAAUGGGUAAGAACCUCACCUUUCUUGGUAUGAAGGUUGUGGUUGUGAUAUAAUGUGCCCAGUGGGCCACUUUUGGUAAGCAGAACUGGCGCUGUGGGAUGAACCAAACGUAAUGUUACGGUGCCCAAAUUAACAACUCAUGCAGAUACCAUGAAAGGCGUUGGUUGCUUAAAACAGCAG
RNAcentral lists this ribosomal RNA (618 nucleotides) under Ravinia lherminieri. Its description in RNAcentral is "eukaryotic LSU rRNA". It matches the Rfam family "Eukaryotic large subunit ribosomal RNA", at positions 690 to 1243 of the family's 3401-position model. Lineage: Eukaryota; Metazoa; Arthropoda; Insecta; Diptera; Sarcophagidae. The record is from RNAcentral. RNAcentral also lists the same sequence under 1 other name.